This 843-nucleotide ribosomal RNA is filed under the name Salmonella enterica subsp. enterica serovar Enteritidis. RNAcentral's name for it is "partial 23S ribosomal RNA". It matches the Rfam family "Bacterial large subunit ribosomal RNA", at positions 360 to 1203 of the family's 2925-position model. The record is from RNAcentral. Lineage: Bacteria; Pseudomonadati; Pseudomonadota; Gammaproteobacteria; Enterobacterales; Enterobacteriaceae.
GAAGGUAAUAGUCCUGUAAGUGAAACGAGAAGACCACGAGUUAUGAUCCAGAGUACCACGAGACACGUGAAACCUUGUGGGAAGCAGGGAGGACCACCUCCCAAGGCUAAAUACUACCUGAUGACCGAUAGUGAAGCAGUACCGUGAGGGAAAGGUGAAAAGAACCCCGGGAGGGGAGUGAAAUAGAACCUGAAACCGUGUGCCUACAACCGCUCAGAGCCCCUUAUGAGGGUGAUGAGGUGCUUUUUGUAGAACGAGCCAACGAGUUACGGUAUGUAGCAAGGUUAAGUACUUAAGGUACGGAGCCGAAGGGAAACCGAGUCUGAAUAGGGCGACUAGUUGCAUGCCGUAGACCCGAAACCGGGUGACCUAUCCAUGGCCAGGUUGAAGCGAGGGUAAAACCUCGUGGAGGACCGAACCACGUUGCUGUUGAAAAAGCAUGGGAUGAGCUGUGGAUAGCGGAGAAAUUCCAAUCGAACCCGGAGAUAGCUGGUUCUCUCCGAAAUAGCUUUAGGGCUAGCGUCGAGUAUGAGUAGUGGAGGUAGAGCACUGAAUGGGCUAGGGGGCAUAGCGCUUACCGAACCUUAUCAAACUCCGAAUGCCACAUACUUUGAGCUCGGCAGUCAGACUACGAAUGAUAAGAUCCGUGGUCAAAAGGGAAACAGCCCAGAUCGUCAGCUAAGGUCCCAAAGUGUAAGUUAAGUGGGAAAGGAUGUGAGAUUUCUAAGACAACUAGGAUGUUGGCUUAGAAGCAGCCAUUCAUUAAAAGAGUGCGUAAUAGCUCACUAGUCGAGAGAUCUUGCGCCGAAAAUGUAACGGGGCUAAACUUACCACCGAAGCUAC